UAGGGCUCCAGGCAGCGCCUGUUGUUGCUCACUGGGGACGUGGGAUUUGUGCGCUGACGCAAGCGGCCGUCUCCCGCGGGCAGCCAUGCAGGAAUCUGGCAGGAGCUCAGACGAGGAACAGACGUCUGGGUCAGGGCAGGCUCAAGCAGGGAGAAACGGGAAGCAAGAGAAGAGG
Poecilia latipinna (sailfin molly) is the source of this 175-nucleotide long non-coding RNA. RefSeq lists it as uncharacterized. NCBI's taxonomy places the organism in Eukaryota, Metazoa, Chordata, Actinopteri, Cyprinodontiformes, Poeciliidae. The transcript is spliced from 2 exons. The record is from RefSeq and is a predicted model, not a curated record.